RNAcentral lists this ribosomal RNA (497 nucleotides) under uncultured bacterium. RNAcentral describes it as "partial 16S ribosomal RNA". It matches the Rfam family "Bacterial small subunit ribosomal RNA", at positions 28 to 507 of the family's 1533-position model. The record is from RNAcentral.
GAUGAACGCUGGCGGCGUGCCUAAUACAUGCAAGUCGAGCGAACAGAUAAGGAGCUUGCUCCUUUGACGUUAGCGGCGGACGGGUGAGUAACACGUGGAUAACCUACCUAUAAGACUGGGAUAACUUCGGGAAACCGGAGCUAAUACCGGAUAACAUAUUGAACCGCAUGGUUCAAUAGUGAAAGGCGGCUUUGCUGUCACUUAUAGAUGGAUCCGCGCCGUAUUAGCUAGUUGGUAAGGUAACGGCUUACCAAGGCAACGAUACAUAGCCGACCUGAGAGGGUGAUCGGCCACACUGGAACUGAGACACGGUCCAGACUCCUACGGGAGGCAGCAGUAGGGAAUCUUCCGCAAUGGGCGAAAGCCUGACGGAGCAACGCCGCGUGAGUGAUGAAGGUCUUCGGAUCGUAAAACUCUGUUAUCAGGGAAGAACAAAUGUGUAAGUAACUGUGCACAUCUUGACGGUACCUGAUCAGAAAGCCACGGCUAACUACGUG